Molecule: non-coding RNA, 910 nt
Filed under: Eurycea cirrigera (southern two-lined salamander)
Lineage: Eukaryota; Metazoa; Chordata; Amphibia; Caudata; Plethodontidae
Source: RNAcentral
CACAGGUUUGGUCCUAGCCUUAGUAUUAAUUUAUGUUAUAAUUAUACAUGCAAGUUUCAACUCACCAGUGAGAAUGCCCCUUAUUGCCAAAAAGCAAUCACGGAGCUGGUAUCAGGCACAAACAGCCCACAACACCUUGCUAGGCCACACCCUCACGGGAAAUCAGCAGUAAUAAACCUUGAACAAUAAGUGAAAACUUGAUUCAGCAAUAACUUUAUGAGCCGGUCAAUCUCGUGCCAGCCACCGCGGUUAUACGAAAGACUCUAAUUAAUAUUAGCGGCCCAAAGAGCAGUUAAAGAAAACAAUUAAUAAAAUUAAAAUAUUGCUUGGCUGUCAUACGCAUAAACAAAUAAUAAAUUCAUAAACAAAAGUUAUUUUAAUACCCUUGAAUCUGCCACAGUUGAGAAACAAACUGGGAUUAGAUACCCCACUAUGCUCAACCACAAACUUUGGAUCACCCGCCAGAGCACUACGAGCCUUAGCUUAAAACUCAAAGGACUUGGCGGUGCUUUACACCCCCUAGAGGAGCCUGUUCUAUAAUCGAUAACCCCCGAUCAACCUCACCGUCACUUGCUAAUACAGCCUAUAUACCACCGUCCCCAGCUAACCCCUUAAAGGAAUAAUAGUCAGCAAAAUAAUUUAUAAUUUAAAAGUCAGGUCAAGGUGUAGCAUAUGCAACGGGAAGAAAUGGGCUACAUUUUUUUUAAAAAUACAGAACAACCAAUGAAACUAAAUGCAAAGAUGGAUUUAGUAGUAAAAAGAAAAAGAACAUUCUUUUUAAAUGGGCAAUAAAGCACGCACACACCGCCCGUCACCCUCAUCAAACUAAAACCCAUUAAAUAAAUCACCAACAGUUUAAGAAGAGGAAAGUCGUAACAUGGUAAGCCUACCGGAAGGUGGUCUUGGACAU